Molecule: non-coding RNA, 893 nt
Filed under: Mercurana myristicapalustris
Lineage: Eukaryota; Metazoa; Chordata; Amphibia; Anura; Rhacophoridae
Source: RNAcentral
AGUUUGGUCCUAGCUUUAUUAUCAACUAUCCCCCGACCUACACAUGCAAGUAUCAGCACCCCAGUGAAGACACCCUCAUCACCUUAAAAAGGCUAAGGAGCUGACAUCAGGCACUAUCUAUAGCCCACGACGUCUAGUUUUACCACACCCUCAAGGGUUUACAGCAGUGAUAAAAAUUAUUCAUAAGCGACAGCUUGAAUUAGUCAAGGGGAAGAGGGCCGGCCAAUUCGGUGCCAGCCGCCGCGGUUACACCGUCAGGCCCAAGUUGAUCUCAACCGGCGUUAAGCGUGAUUAAAGAAGAAAAUAAUUAAAAUUACAUCUAAGUUUAGCUGUGAAAAACUUACUUAAGAGAAAUCCGAAAUCGAAAGUUAUUUUAAUUCAAACUCUUGAUCCCACGACAGCUUGGAAACAAACUAAGAUUAGGCACCUUACUAUGCCAAGCUAUAAAUAAUCUAUUCACACCCACCAGCGCCAGGGUACUACGAGCUUUAGCUUAAAACCCAAAGGACUUGACGGUACCCUAUUUACUAGAGGAGCCUGUUCUGUAAUCGAUGAUCCACGCUAAACCCGACCAUCUCUCGCUUUUCAGCCUGUAUACCUCCGUCGCAAGCCUACCAUAUGAAUGCCCUAUAGUAGACUCAACGGCCAUCACGCCACAAUGUCAGGUCAAGGUGCAGCUCAUGAGAUGGAAGAAAUGGGCUACAAUUUCUAAUAUAGAACAAACGAAUUACUACAUGAAAUAUAGUCAUGAAGGAGGAUCUAGCAGUAAAUUAGGACUAAAAAGCCUCAUUAAACCCCAAAUAUAGGGUGAGUACAAACCGCCCGUCACCCUCUUCAACAGCCUUUAAACAAGUCUUUAACACACUAAUGCAUCUUAGAGGAGGUAAGUCGUA